RNAcentral lists this ribosomal RNA (402 nucleotides) under uncultured Acetobacteraceae bacterium. Its description in RNAcentral is "bacterial SSU rRNA". It matches the Rfam family "Bacterial small subunit ribosomal RNA", at positions 355 to 774 of the family's 1533-position model. The record is from RNAcentral. Lineage: Bacteria; Pseudomonadati; Pseudomonadota; Alphaproteobacteria; Acetobacterales; Acetobacteraceae.
UGGGGAAUAUUGGACAAUGGGCGCAAGCCUGAUCCAGCAAUGCCGCGUGGGUGAAGAAGGUCUUCGGAUCGUAAAGCCCUUUCGGCGGGGACGAUGAUGACGGUACCCGCAGAAGAAGCCCCGGCUAACUUCGUGCCAGCAGCCGCGGUAAUACGAAGGGGGCUAGCGUUACUCGGAAUUACUGGGCGUAAAGGGCGCGUAGGCGGCGCUCCAAGUUAGGCGUGAAAGCCCUGGGCUCAACCUGGGGACUGCGCUUAAGACUGGAGUGCUAGAGGAUGGAAGAGGGUUGUGGAAUUCCCAGUGUAGAGGUGAAAUUCGUAGAUAUUGGGAAGAACACCGGUGGCGAAGGCGGCAACCUGGUCCAUUUCUGACGCUGAGGCGCGAUAGCGUGGGGAGCAAACA